RNAcentral lists this small RNA (844 nucleotides) under Arabidopsis thaliana (thale cress). RNAcentral's name for it is "ATSL055910". Lineage: Eukaryota; Viridiplantae; Streptophyta; Magnoliopsida; Brassicales; Brassicaceae. The record is from RNAcentral.
GUUUUUCUAUAAAAAACAAAGUUGAUUUCGAACACAAUGAAGAUCAUAUGUGUUAUAACAAAAAAAAUCUUUAAAACUUUAUUACUUACACGAUAAUGCUUAUCUUGGCUCCAAACUUCGUAAAUAAACAAGAUCAACACUUCUUGAGCAUCAAUGUUUGUUCGCAAUUAAUGUUUGUUCCUGGGUUCAUCUUUAACUUAACAAUUAUUAUCAAUAAUUUUAUAAUAUUAUAACAUGUAAUGAUGAUUUUGCAUUAAUUCUAACAAGAAUCACGUCUAAAUUUUUUGGGCCAUUAAAUGUUGAUGUCAUUUCGUUUUUAAUGGAAAAAAUCUCCCUUCUAACUGUACAUCCAAACCCUCAACGUGAAACAAAAAUAAUUUCAACUAAACCGGAACAGUGUACCUAACUAAACCUGACUAACUAAACCGUACAUUCAACAGUUUCUCAGCUGUAGCAGCAAGGGCAAAAUGGUCAAAUUUCAGCUGAAAAGACAAAACGUGAAACCACUUUUCACUUUGUCAAUCCUUGAAAUAUUACCCUUAUAUAAAUCGUACAUAACUGAACCAACUUUGGAAUUAACAACCAAACUCUUAGUAAAAUAUUAAUACUGAUAACAUCUGCUCAGAGUUAAAGAUCAGUUCCGAUGUAUAAAGUCAACUAUUCAAGUCUUUUGUUCUCUCUCUCUAUCUCUCUUAAUCCAGCUGUAGUGAAUAAAAAACUAGUUCAGGCUUGGAGCCAGCCAUAACCUAAGCACGAUUAUGAAUCCAACAUAAUUAUAAAUGAUUAAUUAUUAAUAAAUUUUGUUAAGCCAGAAGAAUUACAAGCAUUUGUAAGCUACUAUAUC